UGGAAUCUGAUUUUAAAGAAUGGCCCAGCAGAUGAAGGUGUUUUUUUAAAUUGUUAGUCAUGUGAAACGAACUGAGUAUUGAUCAGUAAUACAGACAGGGCAGCUGUGAGAGAGUUUGAUGCUAAUCUUUGCAGAACUCAAGAACAUACUCCAUAAAGUACAGCUGAAAAGAUCACGAAAACCUUGGAGCCUUCGAGGAAAGAGAAGGGUGACUUGGGGACACAAUCACAGGAAGGGCAUAUGGAUCCGAGCAUCCAGGGUGGUUACUGGGGUGAUCAGACAAAUAAGCAUUGAUGCCUGGAAGGCAGAAAUCACACUGCGACAUCAAAUGUUUCAUCAAGCAAACAGCAAGGAUCUCUUCAGGCUGUGUUCUCUAGACCCGAAAAUGUCCUCUGUGGUUUGGCUGACAAAUGGAAUCUCUUUAGAAAACAUGCAAAAGGGUAUCUCAGCUAUCCAUGAACGAUUCGGUCUAGGACAAAGAACUAACAGUUCCUUCCAAAAUAGAGGUCUGUUGGUCUGUUUGACGUCAUCCCAUCAUCCUAUCUCUCCCUGUCCUUGUCUGCAGUAGAAGUUAAUGUAAUCAUACCAGAUGUUUAAUGUGAACAAGUAAUUUCCAAAUGUAGAAACACCACUGAUGCACUUAGGGGGAAAAACAGUGGCAGGGUGUUAGAGCAUCUCAUCAGAGGUGAAAAUCACCCACUUGGAAACCUACUGUGCACCCGUUGUGAGUUCUAAGAGUGUAUCAGAAAGCUGAUUUUACCAUCUGUUGUGAAAGAUUAUCUGCAAUGAGGGCUGCUAGAAAGUCAGCCUGCUGAUCUCACAAGUAUAUGACUUCUUAUUCCACUUCAAAAGUGGGGAACUUGACAAGUUUCUUGUCUGCCUUUUGAUGUUGAUUCUAUAGAUUAAUUAGUUCAGGAACAAGUCUUUCAUAUACAUUAGACUGGUAUCAUUGAGUUCUGAGCUAUUCUGUUGUUCUUUAACUGACACUCUGGAUUGCCAGUGUCGGCUGCUACAUUCUGAUACAGUAAGUCAAAGGAAUCUAGUGGCCAAGAGUUGUAGUUUAGAAACAACCCAUCUGAAUACUGCUUUUACCACUUUGAUACCUGAAAAGAUCAUCCCCCUUUCUAAAACCUGAAAACAACAUAUAGAGAAAUACUGUAGAAACCAUUGCUAGUGUCUUAACUAGGAAAAGCAAGUAGACUCAUCAACAAUCCUUUCAAAACAAGACCUAGAGAUAAACAGUUUUUUCCAGUGUCAAUUUUCAUAGACAUUUUUAAAAAAUUAAACACAUCUUGUCACCCAGUGCUAGCAAAAAUUGUAAAGAGCAAAACCAAAGUUUUUGAUGUUAGUCUUAUUUUUGUAAGCAGGGUAUACUAUAGUCGUGGCCCAUAUGGAACACACAGGCAGCCGGUUUUCUGCUACCUGAGCCUUGGAGAAGAUGAGAAGGAAGGGCUGCCUGCUGUGCUGCCCUUUGAAAAGGUCCAAAGCAGACAGGAGCGCACACAGCAGAAGUCACCUUCUCCUUCUGAUGACCACCUUUCAAAAGGCUUAACAGAAUCACCAAGUGUCACAGUCAGCUCUUGGCCAGUGGAAAAUUGUCUGGGCCUGUAUAUGUUGGAGGAACUCAGAUAGAAAAGGACUUGUAAACAGCAUGGAAACCUCAACAUCUGCUGUCUCAAGCACUUAAAAAAGGCUACAAUUCAGGUGUUACUGGAUGACUUAACUGCAUGGACAUUUAGGGGCUGACUUGUGUUGUGAUUAUUCCAAUUGUGGGCUUUGGAGAAGCAGAGGGAUGAUUUUCAGUUGUGUGGGUGUUAAGUCUAUGGAUUGGGAAUUUACCACUGAAAUUGAUCGUUCAAAGUGUGACUUCAUAGUAGGGCCAGCUCCUCCUAAGUUGUCCUUUUGUUUUUCACAUAAAAUACAUCUGGUACUUUUUACUUGGAAAGUUGUACUAUGUCCAUGAAAAUGGUUAAAUGAGAAGGCCAUAAAGAUUCAUUUAAUAGCUGAAAAGCAACUUUUAAAAUAGAAUAGGACGAAUUUAACAUGGAAUGAUGUGACCUUCUAGGGAACUUUUUAUAGAGAGCUUACAUAGUGUAAUUGGGGAGAAUUUUGUCUUCUAUUUCCAUUCAACAGUAGCAAACUGGUGGUUUUAUAAAAUUAACAUUAUAGUAUGUUAUAUAAAUAAACGUUAUAUAAAAUGACAUUAAAGUAUAACUGUGAAAAAUUAAAGACUUGGCGUUAUCCACAACCUUUAUGUGCAAUAAGGAAAACUGCAGUAGGCCCCCAAAGUGCCGUCUUUCCCUAGCAUUUUACUCAAUGUUUGCCUUUGUGUAUGUUUAGAUUGCUAUUGUAAAGCUAGCCAUGUGUGUUCCUGCCCUUUACUGAUAUUUAACACAUUUUCUCAAAGCUUUUCUUUUUUUAAAAAAACAAAACUCAAAAUAAAACAACUAACUGGCUGAGCUAAUUUUGUUUUGUAUUUUAAAGUAAAGUAUCAUCUGUUGGUAGAAGGCUGUAGUGUGAUACUAUUCUUAGUCUGUUUCCCUCACUGAGAGGUUCUUUUCUGGGUGUAAGCUAUUCCUCUCCAGCUUUCUUUAGGCCUGGGGUUGGCAAACUACAGCUGGC
Molecule: long non-coding RNA, 2622 nt
Filed under: Homo sapiens (human)
Lineage: Eukaryota; Metazoa; Chordata; Mammalia; Primates; Hominidae
Description: non-protein coding lnc-ZNF674-1:12
Source: RNAcentral